Molecule: ribosomal RNA, 374 nt
Filed under: uncultured bacterium
Lineage: Bacteria
Description: bacterial SSU rRNA
Rfam family: Bacterial small subunit ribosomal RNA
Source: RNAcentral
UACGUAGGGUGCAAGCGUUAAUCGGAAUUACUGGGCGUAAAGCGUGCGCAGGCGGUAAUGCAAGACAGAUGUGAAAUCCCCGGGCUCAACCUGGGAACUGCAUUUGUGACUGCAUUGCUGGAGUGCGGCAGAGGGGGAUGGAAUUCCGCGUGUAGCAGUGAAAUGCGUAGAUAUGCGGAGGAACACCGAUGGCGAAGGCAAUCCCCUGGGCCUGCACUGACGCUCAUGCACGAAAGCGUGGGGAGCAAACAGGAUUAGAUACCCUGGUAGUCCACGCCCUAAACGAUGUCAACUGGUUGUUGGGUCUUCAUUGACUCAGUAACGAAGCUAACGCGUGAAGUUGACCGCCUGGGGAGUACGGCCGCAAGGUUGAA